AUGCUCUACUAAUAGCGAAUUUAAUUGCACAUCAGACCAUAAUUCUUCUGGAAGCACAAAAGCACAUCUAAUCUAUCAAGGACCGCUUUGCAGUAAAGAAGCUUAAAGAAUGGCCAAGAAAAUUCUGUUGAUUUUGGUAUUGUGCAUGGCCUCGGUUUGUCCGUCGAAUGGCGUGGAAGUCAAGACCAGGGCCAGGCCAUGCUAUUGUGGAAGUCAGUAUAAGGGUACGUCGCUAGACCCAAGAUAUCAUCCAGGGGAUCAUUGGUUUUGGAGAGGUUCCUGCCCAGGUGGACAUGGCUACAAAAAAUCUUGCAAACUGACCUGGGGGGAUAUUUGUUGUUUCCCAAGAACAUAAUAACAGGUUAUAGAUAAACUGAAGUUAACUAGAAGCUCAGUAGUUCGAAAAAUGAUAAAUUGGUCAAAUGAAUAGUGAUUAAUUCAAAGAUUCAAACUUAAAUGUCUUCAGAGUGAUAACUUCGAAGCAAGCAUAUGUUGUAAUCAUGAGCAAAUGAACUACAAAUAAAAUCACAGGAACUCAAAAA
Long non-coding RNA from Actinia tenebrosa (Australian red waratah sea anemone), 542 nucleotides. Lineage: Eukaryota; Metazoa; Cnidaria; Anthozoa; Actiniaria; Actiniidae. The record is from RefSeq and is a predicted model, not a curated record.